RNAcentral lists this transfer RNA (85 nucleotides) under Klebsiella pneumoniae. RNAcentral's name for it is "tRNA-Tyr". It matches the Rfam family "tRNA". Rfam says of the family: Transfer RNA (tRNA) molecules are approximately 80 nucleotides in length. Their secondary structure includes four short double-helical elements and three loops (D, anti-codon, and T loops). Lineage: Bacteria; Pseudomonadati; Pseudomonadota; Gammaproteobacteria; Enterobacterales; Enterobacteriaceae. The record is from RNAcentral.
GGCCGGGUUCCCGAGCGGCCAAAGGGAGCAGACUGUAAAUCUGCCGUCAUCGACUUCGAAGGUUCGAAUCCUUCCCCCACCACCA